Molecule: long non-coding RNA, 3001 nt
Organism: Drosophila simulans
Lineage: Eukaryota; Metazoa; Arthropoda; Insecta; Diptera; Drosophilidae
Exons: 4
Source: RefSeq, a predicted model, not a curated record
GUUCGACUUUUUUUUAACACCCCACAUUCAGUUUGUUUCAGACUCUGAAGAAGUAAGGACCUUAAGAUGAAGCACUUUUUCUUGGCAAAGAAAAAGUUAUAAAAAUUGAUAAUAUGCGGAUUUGUACCUUUUUGAAUGUUUUCUAAGGCACUCCUCUCUGAAAUAACAAUGGCGUAAGGAAACUCACUCAACCAAAAACGGAUUAAGUGGGGAUGGCAAAAAAAAACAGCUAAAAUCGCCGGCAAAGAGGCGCAAAAACUUGACCAGGCCAACGAUGGAUGGUGGCGAAUUAUUAUGCAGCAGCAAUUACUCGCCAAUUGUCGUCGCAAUGAGAUAGUAUAGAGAAUGGGAACAAAAGAGGAAAAAGCUGUUCGAAAAGGCGAUAAUCCGGUCGUCGGGAACGAUGGACAUCGAAUCGAAUCGAAUCGGAUCGGAUCGCAAUGAUCAAACGCCUCUGGAACUUGGGAUCUUGGCCAGCUCAACGGUUUUGGCCCGGCCGGCUAUGACCAAAUGCAGAGGAUCAGGAGUUGCCAGUCGCCCCCUGUGAUUAUUUUUAUUAUAAUUGCGCGUUUAUUGGCGUGAGGAUAUGUGUUGCCACUCGAAUCCGUGGGGACACUCGCUACACAAUCGCACCGCCUCGACUUGGUACACAAACGGCAAACGGCAAAUCGGCUUUGAUUUGUGUGGCAAACUUGGCGCUUGUUAUACAGCAUUUUUGCGUCUCUUAAAUGCUGCAUUUUCCUCUGCAUUUGUUGCUCUUUAGUUUAAAUGGCUUAUAUGACUUAUAUAUGGGUUGCAAAGAAGUCUAUGAAGAUGACAUUGUGUUAGACUCUUGAGGCUUGUAGAACACCAUUGCAUUAAGCUUUCUUUAGGGAUUUUAGGAUCAAAAAUGGUUUAGACUUUCAAUUAAUUAAAAGUAUAGAUCGAAAGCUUAAUUUAAUUGUAUUACCUUAAUAUAAUUUAAAAAUUUAUACAUCAAUUUUAUUACAAGGUUUGCUAUCAUCGUUUUUCUCCUAGUUUUCACUUCAAAAUGUAUAAUUCUUUAAAAUGCCUGUACCAAUUAAGUGUGGUUUACAAAAUCAAACACAAGAACCCAAAAUAAAUAACAAUUCUUAUGUUGUUCAUAUCAGAUCUGGUUUAUUGUAAUGUCUAAUGGCUUAUUUCCCACUUGUCAUAUCAAUAAUCUCGAUUGGAGCCUCACCUUCAUUACCUCAUCAAUUAUUUCAAGCAAAUGCAAUUCAAUUAGGAAGUGCAUUUAUAAUAACCCAAGUCGAACUGUAAACUCGAAUUUAAGUUGUUAAAUUAUAUUUCAAGUAGAUUUCAAAUCAAGAAAUUGCCGUUGGCGCCAACAGUUCCAACAAAGGCGUUAAACUGUUGGAAAUCUUCCUGAAAUAAUUAACUAUUGAGCUGAAAAGCAAUUGAAAACACAAAAAGUGUUUUACAGAUGAAAAUCUCGAGCAAUUUUCAGACCCAGCCUAUCAUUUUUUACUGGCACAGAAAAAAACAAAUGUAAUGCUUGAAUUUAUUUAUACAAAAUCUAGGAGGAGUGUUUCUAAUCUAAUUCAAUAAACUUGUAUAAUAAAACCAGGAUAUUUAUUCAGAGCAUAAAUAAAAUGUGAAAAUAACAUUAGAUGCUUAAUGCUGUUGCUUGUUUUUUUAUAAUUUAUUUACAGUAAUCCAGAACUUUACAUAAAAUAUAAGCGCCCAAUCCAAUAUAUUUAUAUUUUUAUAGGUUUUUUUUUAUUUAUGCACCAUAAACUUUUAUAUGUCUACACUCGAAGCGAAUAUAAUAUUAAAGCCAGACAUAUUUGCCCUAAGGUGCGACUUGCUUAAAAACAAUUAAACCGCAGAAAAAGCGCUAAUAAAAUAUUAAAAUAAUCAAGGGAACAGCACGCCAAUGGCUCAUUUGUAAUGCUCCAGAAGAAUUCCGCGUGUCAGAGGAGAGCUGAUGUGGAUAUAUAGUGGAUAUAUAAUUACAUGGCCUUUUGUUGUCUGCACUUUGCGUUCGCUGCUGCGGGUGUUGUAAUGCGACAAUUAAAGUUAUAAAACUUUCUGUUUCUUGGCCGGCCUUAGCAUAAUCGCACAAUUUGUCAACGAGUCGGCCGCAGACAACCCCUUUCAUAUCACAUUUAAUUGUUUUUCCCUGAUUGUUCGCGCUUGCCUGUUUUUUUUUUUCUGUUUUUUAAUAUAAAUGCAAAGUUUUGGGGUUAACCAGUGGGGUUUAAAUGCGUUAAAGAGAAAAAUGUGCUCGGCAUGGCGUGCCUGCAAGUGUGAAGUGAAAAAUUGGCUUUCAGGCAUCUUCAUAUGGAUGAGUAGCCAUUAGGAAGCCAAAGGUAAUAAUUUCUAGUUCUACACAAGGGAAAAUAUAUGCUUAUCCAUAUAUGGUAAAUGUCUAGGGGAAUAUCUAGUACCAUAUUAUCAUGCUAAGUAGCUUAACUUACCGGGUGGCCAAAAUACCAACCACCACUUAAAAGCUAAUUACAUUUUUAUGCUGUCCCUUUAAGGUAACAUAUAAAUUAAUUGGGGAAAUAUUAUAUUCAUAUAAUAAUUUAAUAUAUUAGUAAGUCAAAUAUAAAAUGAUAAAAAAAAUUAAGUAAGCUCCUAAAAAUCGCCACAACAGACAUCGAAUUUAUUCGCACUUAACCAGUAGCAUUACAGAUGUAUUUAAUGUAAGGAAAGGCUCCUAUCAAAAUCGCAAAAUCGCUAUUAUCUUUGGCAUAACAAUCAUUUGGAAUAUUUUAUGCCGCUGUUUUACCAAUUAUAAUCAGAUUAAACAAGACAAAUGCAUUUGGCGAACAGCGCAAAAUGAGAGAAUACCAUAAACCGGCCAAAUUAUUGCAAAUAAAUAUGGAUGUAAAAUUGCUGAAUGAGGCGGCUAAGAAUUUGAUUUGCGGCUACAUUCUAUGACAUUUAAAUGGAAUACAUGAAAUCGAGCAGUUUAUUCUGAACAAAACUAACCAUCGGGAUUAGACCAUAAAGCAUGCUAGAGUGCUCGUGCUCG